Molecule: small nuclear RNA, 109 nt
Filed under: Myotis davidii
Lineage: Eukaryota; Metazoa; Chordata; Mammalia; Chiroptera; Vespertilionidae
Source: RNAcentral
GUGCUCGCUUCGGCAGCACAUUAUACUAAAACUGGAAGGAUACAGAAAAGAUUAGCAUGGCCCCCUGUGCAAGGAUGACAUGCAAAUUCGUGAAGCGUUCCAUAUUUUU